This 200-nucleotide ribosomal RNA is filed under the name uncultured bacterium. RNAcentral describes it as "partial 16S ribosomal RNA". It matches the Rfam family "Bacterial small subunit ribosomal RNA", at positions 8 to 226 of the family's 1533-position model. The record is from RNAcentral.
AGAGUUUGAUCAUGGCUCAGAAUCAACGCUGGCGGCGCGCUUAACACAUGCAAGUCGCACGAGAAAGGGGCAACCUGAGUAAAGUGGCGCACGGGUGAGUAACACGUGGAUCAUCUACCUUUUAGUGGGGAAUACCCCCGGGAAACUGGGGACAAUUCCGCAUAAUCUCGCGAGAGGAAAGCAGCAAUGCGCUGAAAGAG